CCUACGGGUGGCAGCAGUCGAGAAUCAUUCACAAUGGGGGAAACCCUGAUGGUGCGACGCCGCGUGGGGGAAUGAAGGUCUUCGGAUUGUAAACCCCUGUCAUGUGGGAGCAAAUUAAAAAGAUAGUACCACAAGAGGAAGAGACGGCUAACUCUGUGCCAGCAGCCGCGGUAAUACAGAGGUCUCAAGCGUUGUUCGGAAUCACUGGGCGUAAAGGGUGCGUAGGCUGUUUCGUAAGUCGUGUGUGAAAGGCGCGGGCUCAACCCGCGGACGGCACAUGAUACUGCGUGACUAGAGUAAUGGAGGGGGAACCGGAAUUCGUGGUGUAGCAGUGAAAUGCGUAGAUAUCGAGAGGAACACUCGUGGCGAAGGCGGGUUCCUGGACAUUAACUGACGCUGAGGCACGAAGGCCAGGGGAGCGAAAGGGAUUAGAUACCCGUGUAGUC
RNAcentral lists this ribosomal RNA (446 nucleotides) under uncultured bacterium. RNAcentral's name for it is "partial 16S ribosomal RNA". It matches the Rfam family "Bacterial small subunit ribosomal RNA", at positions 338 to 795 of the family's 1533-position model. The record is from RNAcentral.